ACAUAGUCCUUGGAAUGAUGCAGAUAAGCUCGUAGCGCAUUUUACGAAAGGAUGGUUUAGAAAAGCAUCGUAAAUGGUAUAUUUCUCCUAACUGAGCCUUUCUGCUGUAAAGGAAUUUUUUUUUAAGCGGUCAAAAUAUUGAACAUAUGCAAACAAAACAAUCAAAUAUAUUGGAAGCCUUACGGAUGAUCGCAUCAAGGCGACCUCGCAGCUGGAAAGAUGGAUUAGACGUCAAACUACUGCCGCCGUUAUUGGGAAAAAGAUCUAGUUUGGGAUGAAGAAGAUUAAGGGGAAGUUAGUGAAGCGUACCUCACAGACUCAACUUCAAGUAAAUCCCCCGUGUGAAGAAGAUUGGACUAAAUAUGAUGAACGGCUCAUUGAAUGUGUGGUGAAUGGAGAUGUGGAAAAACUCAAGUCUACACUUACAAAAAAGGGGACAUCAGCAAUAAAGUUGGGCCCAAAUGGAACAACAGCUCUUCACACGGCCUGUGAGAAAGGAAGUGUUGAGUGUUUGGAGGUGUUACUGCGAGAACAGCCAGACUUAUCAUUUGUAAACAAAGCAGGCUGUAGUCCUCUACACGUGGCUGCAUAUUCUGGGAACUCAGAAUGUGUGAAGAAAAUAUUAGAACGGAAGGUUCAUGUCGGAACUCAGGAUGGUAAAAAAAUGACAGCACUUCACCAUGCAGCUGCCAAAGGCCAGAAAGAAUGUGUUGAACUUCUUCUUAACAGCAAAGCUUCUCUUAAUGGCAAAGACAAGGAUGGAAGAACCCCAUUAUUGAUGGCAAUACAAGGUGCACAUGAAGAUGUUGUCAAGUUAUUACUCAACAGAGGAGCAAAGGUUAACAUAACAGACAAUUCUAAAAAGACUGCACUUAUGUAUGCAUCACUUCUGGGGCUUUCCAUUACCGUAGAGAUGUUAUUAAAAAGGGGUGCCAAUCCACAACUGACUGACAGCAAUGGUCAUACAGCUGAAGAGUUUGCUCCCUUGUGUAAUUACCAAGAUAUCAUUGAUCUUAUGCACAGUGCUCCAUCUGUUGCAAUGUGGGAUGCAGGGGAAACUUCAGAGGAUAAUGAAGCAGAUGAAGAGGACUCCAAUGUUCCAAAUGGUGAGUUAAUAACAGAGUUCAGCAAUAUGGAAGAAUCAGAAGCAGAGACAUCUGUUUCACUACACCAUGAAACAGUGUCAAGUACUACUGGGGUUCCAAGUUCUGUCAACAGUGGUAGUUUAUCACAACAGGAAUCCUUUUCAUCCAAAGCUUCAACAACACUCUCUUCCUCAAGAGCAGCCAACCAAGAUCUCUCUCAAGAUAUCACGGAACUGGAAGAGGAAAAUGAAAUGCUAAACCAAGAAUUAAAUAAACUGAGAGUCCAACACCAGAAGACUCUAGAAAGGCUUCGUGGUCUUGAAGCCAAGCAAGAAAGCAAAGCACCAGUAGUAUCAAAUCAUAUCAAUGGACAUGUAGAGGAAGAAUUAUUAGAAGAAAAAGACAAAAAAAUAGAGGAGCUAGAAAAAGAGGUUGAGAAAUUAAAGGAAGAUUUAACUUAUGAAGAAGAGUCCAGAUGUGAAGCUGAGCAAGAAGUAGAGAAUCUCAAAGCUCAAGUGGCAACACUCCAGGAUGAAAAUCAGAAUGACUUUAACUCCAGUGAAACUGAUGAUGAUAUUGAGUUACCAGGUGUUGAUCAAAACUGGGAUACAAAGAACAACAACAAAAAAAAUACACAGCCGGACCAACUCAUUUCACUACAUGGUCAGGUCACAACUCUUAAACUUGAAAAUGAAAUGCUUAAAGAGCAACUCCAACGGCCUUCUCGAGUCAAUGGGGAUAUGAUUCAUAGCCAGGUUGAUCGCAAUAUACCCACAAUUCCACUUACAGUUUAUCAGCAGCUCAAGGAAUCAAAUGAAGACGAAAUAUUUAAGUUGACGGAAGAAUUGGAAGAGCUCAAGAUAACAAAUGAAUCCCUUCAAAAGUUACCAACAAUGGAUCAUGUCCUCAAUGCGGUCAGCUCAAGACCAAGUCAGGAAAUUCAUUAACUACUACAACAGAACAGCGGUUAAUGGAAGAUUUAAAACAGCUCGAGCAUCAGUUUCAGGAGGCUGAAAGAGAUUACAGAGACACUAUAAACAUGUACAGACUGCAACUUCUAAAUGCAUGCCAG
Molecule: unclassified non-coding RNA, 2157 nt
Filed under: Stylophora pistillata
Lineage: Eukaryota; Metazoa; Cnidaria; Anthozoa; Scleractinia; Pocilloporidae
Description: ankyrin repeat domain-containing protein 24-like, transcript variant X3
Source: RNAcentral